Molecule: ribosomal RNA, 301 nt
Filed under: uncultured bacterium
Lineage: Bacteria
Description: partial 16S ribosomal RNA
Rfam family: Bacterial small subunit ribosomal RNA
Source: RNAcentral
CAGCCGCCGCGGUAAUACGGAGGGGGCUAGCGUUGUUCGGAAUUACUGGGCGUAAAGCGCACGUAGGCGGCUUGGUAAGUUAGAGGUGAAAGCCUGGAGCUCGACUCCAGUAUUGCCUUUGAGACUGCCGAGCUAGCAGGUGAGAGAGGUAAGUGGAAUUCCGAGUGUAGAGGUGGAAUUCGUAGAUAUUCGGAAGAACACCAGUGGCGAAGGCGGCUUACUGGCUCAUACUGGACGCUGAGGUGCGAAAGCGUGGGGAGCAAACAGGAUUAGAUACCCCAGUAGUCCCUGUCUCUUAUAC